RNAcentral lists this ribosomal RNA (425 nucleotides) under uncultured bacterium. RNAcentral describes it as "partial 16S ribosomal RNA". It matches the Rfam family "Bacterial small subunit ribosomal RNA", at positions 354 to 796 of the family's 1533-position model. The record is from RNAcentral.
GUGGGGAAUCUUGCGCAAUGGGCGAAAGCCUGACGCAGCCAUGCCGCGUGAAUGAUGAAGGUCUUAGGAUUGUAAAAUUCUUUCACCGGGGACGAUAAUGACGGUACCCGGAGAAGAAGCCCCGGCUAACUUCGUGCCAGCAGCCGCGGUAAUACGAAGGGGGCUAGCGUUGCUCGGAAUUACUGGGCGUAAAGGGCGCGUAGGCGGAUCGUUAAGUCAGGGGUGAAAUCCCAGAGCUCAACUCUGGAACUGCCCUUGAUACUGGCGAUCUUGAGUGUGAGAGAGGUAUGUGGAACUCCGAGUGUAGAGGUGAAAUUCGUAGAUAUUCGGAAGAACACCAGUGGCGAAGGCGACAUACUGGCUCAUUACUGACGCUGAGGCGCGAAAGCGUGGGGAGCAAACAGGAUUAGAUACCCUUGUAGUCC